UUGGAUCCAGACUUUGAUCAUGGCUCAGGAUGAACGCUGGCGGCGUGCUUAACACAUGCAAGUCGAGCGAAGCGCUUAUGAAAGGUUCUUCGGAUGAUUUCAUUCGUGACUGAGCGGCGGACGGGUGAGUAACGCGUGGGUAACCUGCCUCAUACAGGGGGAUAACAGUUGGAAACGACUGCUAAUACCGCAUAAGCGCACAGUACCGCAUGGUACCGUGUGAAAAACUCCGGUGGUAUGAGAUGGACCCGCGUCUGAUUAGCUAGUUGGUGGGGUAACGGCCUACCAAGGCGACGAUCAGUAGCCGACCUGAGAGGGUGACCGGCCACAUUGGGACUGAGACACGGCCCAAACUCCUACGGGAGGCAGCAGUGGGGAAUAUUGCACAAUGGGGGAAACCCUGAUGCAGCAACGCCGCGUGAGUGAAGAAGUAUUUCGGUAUGUAAAGCUCUAUCAGCAGGGAAGAAAAUGACGGUACCUGACUAAGAAGCCCCGGCUAACUACGUGCCAGCAGCCGCGGUAAUACGUAGGGGGCAAGCGUUAUCCGGAUUUACUGGGUGUAAAGGGAGCGUAGACGGCGAGACAAGUCUGAAGUGAAGCCCGGGGCUCAACCCCGGGACUGCUUUGGAAACUGCCUUGCUAGAGUGCUGGAGAGGUAAGUGGAAUUCCUAGUGUAGCGGUGAAAUGCGUAGAUAUUAGGAGGAACACCAGUGGCGAAGGCGGCUUACUGGACGGUAACUGACGUUGAGGCUCGAAAGCGUGGGGAGCAAACAGGAUUAGAUACCCUGGUAGUCCACGCCGUAAACGAUGGAUGCUAGGUGUUGGGGAGCAAAGCUCUUCGGUGCCGCCGCAAACGCAUUAAGCAUUCCACCUGGGGAGUACGUUCGCAAGAAUGCAACUCAAAUGAAUUGACGGA
Molecule: ribosomal RNA, 916 nt
Filed under: uncultured bacterium
Lineage: Bacteria
Also listed under: 1 other name
Description: bacterial SSU rRNA
Rfam family: Bacterial small subunit ribosomal RNA
Source: RNAcentral